RNAcentral lists this ribosomal RNA (467 nucleotides) under uncultured bacterium. RNAcentral's name for it is "partial 16S ribosomal RNA". It matches the Rfam family "Bacterial small subunit ribosomal RNA", at positions 28 to 507 of the family's 1533-position model. The record is from RNAcentral.
GACGAACGCUAGCGGCGUGCUUAACACAUGCAAGUCGAACGGAAAGGCUCCAGCUUGCUGGAGUACUCGAGUGGCGAACGGGUGAGUAACACGUGGGUAAUCUGCCCUGCACUCUGGGAUAAGCCUGGGAAACUGGGUCUAAUACUGGAUAUGACCUUUCUCCUUAUGGGGUUUGGUGGAAAGUUUUUCGGUGUAGGAUGAGCCCGCGGCCUAUCAGCUUGUUGGUGGGGUGAUGGCCUACCAAGGCGACAACGGGUAGCCGGCCUGAGAGGGUGAUCGGCCACAUUGGGACUGAGAUACGGCCCAGACUCCUACGGGAGGCAGCAGUGGGGAAUAUUGCACAAUGGGCGGAAGCCUGAUGCAGCGACGCCGCGUGAGGGAUGACGGCCUUCGGGUUGUAAACCUCUUUCAGCAGGGACGAAGCGUAAGUGACGGUACCUGCAGAAGAAGCACCGGCUAACUAUGUG